UACGGGGGGGGCAAGCGUUGUUCGGAAUUACUGGGCGUAAAGGGCGCGUAGGCGGCCUGCUAAGUCGGACGUGAAAUCCCUCAGCUCAACCGGGGAACUGCGUCCGAUACUGGCGAGGCUUGAAUCCGGGAGAGGGAUGUGGAAUUCCAGGUGUAGCGGUGAAAUGCGUAGAUAUCUGGAGGAACACCGGUGGCGAAGGCGACAUCCUGGACCGGUAUUGACGCUGAGGCGCGAAAGCCAGGGGAGCAAACGGG
Molecule: ribosomal RNA, 254 nt
Filed under: uncultured bacterium
Lineage: Bacteria
Description: partial 16S ribosomal RNA
Rfam family: Bacterial small subunit ribosomal RNA
Source: RNAcentral